This 1721-nucleotide long non-coding RNA is filed under the name Haliotis rubra (blacklip abalone). RNAcentral's name for it is "uncharacterized LOC124266508". The record is from RNAcentral. Lineage: Eukaryota; Metazoa; Mollusca; Gastropoda; Lepetellida; Haliotidae.
AGAUAUUCCAUAGGCAGUACUCUUCUGGAGGCAUGCCGACUGCCAAGAAGACAUCCUGUAAAGAGAGUAGCAUUUUACUACCUAAAUCACGUCCUGGAGGCAGAAGUGGACCUAGAAAUCCUUCAUAAAAAGGCCGACUGCCAAGAAGAUAUCCCACAGGCAGAAGUGAAGCAAGUACUCUUUUGGAUCCAGACUACUGCUAAGAAGACAUUUGGAGGCAAGUGGACGUUGAGGUUCCUCAGAGGCAGGCCAACUGCCAAAAAGAUAUCCCACUGGCAGAAAUGGUGCAAGAACUCUUUUGAAAGCAGGACGACUGCCAAGAAGCAGACAUAGGACUGGGCAGACGCGGGAACCCUGGUACAUUCUGGAUUUGCUGUUGCGUCCCUCCACCCACGGACUUCAGUACACUGCUUUUCCGAGAGACUGAUGGGACGAGUUUUUGUCUAAUGGUGGCUCCACAGUCUCUCCGCUUUCGCGUAGGUCCCCGCCGACUGUACUGUGGAGUAGGUUCGGUGCUAGGGCCUGGCUGUCCAGUCAGGAAGGUUGUUGCAGCAACAUACCAGCUAGUUAGGGCUGUUACACUCUGUGGCUCCACGUCUUUCUCAGCAUCCCCCAGUAAGCCAAAUGCUGACUGCACUUGACUGGUAGAUUUCAGGUGUUAGGCUAGAUAGGGACCCCUCAUGCAUGCCCUGCAUGAUGCUGUCAUACAGAUGACAUAACUUAGUGCUUACCCACCAUCUAUUCCUUCAGUAGGUAGUUCCCAGACAGAGCAAGUCCCGCAUGGUCACUUUGGGAUGCAGUGUACUGGCCGACUGGGGCCGCCAGCUGACACAUGGACGUCUGUAUGUGCGCGCUGGGCCCCUCCCUCCUCCGUGACCAUCUCGCCAAACGGAUGCUAGGUGCUCUUGCAAAGGAGGACGCAGGCAUGGAGCGGUCCACUUUAAGGAGGACGCAGGCGUGGAGCGGUCCACUUUUAGGAGGACGCAGGCAUGGAGCGGUCCACUUUAAAGAGGACGCAGGCAUGGAGCGGGCAUGGAGCGGUCCACUUUAAGGAGGACGCAGGCGUGAAGCGGUCCACUUUAAGGAGGACAAAGCCUGGAUCCAGGAUGAAGAUGUGUGCACUCCCCAACUCUGGGAGCUGGAGUUCAAUGAAUCUGUAGCUGUAUCCAUCUCCGGCCAUGUACACACAUGUAUAUCCUCUGUUGUGUAUGUGACCCAUGUGUCCCACGUGUACGGAUAUCAGGAAAGGAUAACUGGAUUUUGUACAAGCAACAUAGCUGGUUAUGCAGUGUUCUCAUUGUUCAUCACUUAUCCAUGUCCUGUUUCAUGGGAAGGAGUGGAAAUGCUGCUCACGUGUGUGUGUUCGUUGGCUGCAUUAUGUGUAUGUUUAACUGUUGAUAUAUUUUGUGACAAUGUAUUGUGUGUGUCUGCUACUGUAAACCCUCCAGUAGAGGAGGUAGUGAUGCAUACGUUGAGGGAACACGGUUCCAGAGUUUUUUCUCAAAAAUGUUUUAUCUCUGGUUUUACGUGUCGGGCUUCAGCUACCAUUGACCGUUUUCAAAUGUACGUCUAAAAUAUACUUACAUACUGUGCAGCAACCGCCAAAUGUCGGUGGUUUUUCGCAGUGUGUGUUGUUUAUGUUCGUGCAAAUAGAGAAUUUGGUAUUGUGCCAUGUUGGGAAUGAUGACAUUAAAAAGCCGUGAACCGCACAGCUGAUCCAA